GACGUAGGGUGCAAGCGUUGUCCGGAAUCACUGGGCGUAAAGAGCUCGUAGGCGGGGUCGUGCGUCAUAGAGUAAAUCUCUCUGCUCAACGGAGAGUUCUUCUAUGAUACGGCGACUCUUGAGGACAGGAGAGGAAAGCGGAAUUCCGAGUGUAGCGGUGAAAUGCGUAGAUAUUCGGAGGAACACCAGUGGCGAAGGCGGCUUUCUGGCCUGAUUCUGACGCUGAGGAGCGAAAGCCAGGGUAGCGAACGGG
Molecule: ribosomal RNA, 253 nt
Filed under: uncultured bacterium
Lineage: Bacteria
Description: partial 16S ribosomal RNA
Rfam family: Bacterial small subunit ribosomal RNA
Source: RNAcentral